Lactuca sativa (garden lettuce) is the source of this 1070-nucleotide non-coding RNA. The record is from RefSeq and is a predicted model, not a curated record. NCBI's taxonomy places the organism in Eukaryota, Viridiplantae, Streptophyta, Magnoliopsida, Asterales, Asteraceae.
CUUGCAGGCAUUGGAUCUACAGAAAACGAUUAUGUAUUUGAUGAAUCCUCAGGUUACUACUACAGCAUCAGUUUAGGAUAUUAUUAUGACCCAUCUUCAAGAUUGUAUUGCAGUGCAGCAUCUGGACAGUGGUAAUAUAUUAUAUAAUGUGGUCACUAUUUUCAACCUGAUUUAGUAUUAUUUGAAUUAUAGUGAUUUUGAUUUGGAGAUAAAAUGUGGUUAUAUAUAAAGUAAUGUGUUUGUGUUUUGUAUUUUCCAGGUGUUCAUGUAACCAAGAAACUGGUGACUAUGAGGAGUUGCCAUCAGGGGAAGGCAAUGGAAAUGGAAUUGCAACAUAGUGGAAUGGAAUUGGAAUCACAGGUUUCACCACCUGCUGUGCGUGGUACUUAUGGAAGCUUCAUUCAAAUUUCAACAUGUUUAGGGUUGAUGGGAGCUCUUUUAAUCGGGAUUCCAGUAAAGAGCAUCUCAGGCUGGUAACAAAGCUUUGUCUACCUCUAAAACUGUAAUUAACAUUUUGGAUUUGGAUUCAUUUUUUGAAUGUAUGUCCAGGUGGCGUAUCUGCUUUUGGUUAUCUACAAUUCCAUCCACAAUACUUGCUCUUGCUAUGAUAUUAUGUGAAUAAAGUCCACAUUGGCUUUACAAGGUCUGUUAAGUGUCAUCGUCUUCAUUUCUAUUUGUUGAUAAAACAAGGGCAUAUGAGUAAUGCUGAAAUUUGGGUGCAUAAUAUGUGCAUCGAUCAACUGAUAGAAAAAAAUUCAGCGAUUAUGUGUAUAAUUUGGGUGCAAGGAAAAUUAAUUUCACCAAAAGUUUGUGAUCAAGAGAAGUAAAAUCAUCAGCAAAAAGUGUAAUCAGUUCAGAUUUUUAUUCCGUUUGAUACUUGAAAAUCUACUUAAUGGCUAUGGGGCGAGCUGGAUGCAAAGUAAAAUUGGUGAUUUGGGUUCCAAUACAACAUUAAAGGAACAUCAUUUGUCAUUACUAUUUAAGUGUGAUGGAUUUGAUAAAGCAUCAUCAAGAAGAAUCAACUGGCGUACCAAUGAUGAUAUUUCAUUGAAUUAUUUUCUUGGCUUAAA